RNAcentral lists this unclassified non-coding RNA (334 nucleotides) under soil metagenome. RNAcentral describes it as "partial contains 5.8S ribosomal RNA, internal transcribed spacer 2, and large subunit ribosomal RNA". The stretch from base 1 to 120 matches the Rfam family "5.8S ribosomal RNA", at positions 35 to 154 of the family's 154-position model. The record is from RNAcentral.
GAUGAAGAACGCAGUGAAACGCGAUAAGUAAUGUGAAUUGCAGAAUCCAGUGAAUCAUCGAAUCUUUGAACGCACAUUGCGCCCGCCAGUAUUCUGGCGGGCAUGCCUGUUCGAGCGUCAUUUCAACCAUCAAGCCUCAGGCUUGUGUUGGAGCCCUGCGGCUGCCGCAGCCUCCCAAAACCAGUGGCGGGCUCGCUAUCACACCGAGUGCAGUAGUUUACUCUUCGCUCAGGGCGUGUGGCGGGUGCUAGCCGUGAAACCCCCAACUUCUCAAGGUUGACCUCGGAUCAGGUAGGAAUACCCGCUGAACUUAAGCAUAUCAAUAAGCGGAGGA